AAUGUGUCUCAUCGAGUGGGUGUGAGAGGAAUUGGAGCGCCUUUGCUUUGGUGCACACAAAGCAAAGAAAUCGUCUUUUAUAUGACAAGCUCCACAAGCUAGUUUCUGUCCGCUACAACCUAAAGAUACAUGCUGAAGAAGAUCAAGAGAAAGAUAUAGAUAAUGAAGUUGAUCCAAGUGCACUGCUGCUGGACACAACAAUGUUUGAUGAAGCAAAUCCAAUAAUGGAGUGGCUGAAUGAGGAUGAAGAGGAUCCAAUUGUGGAUGUAGCUGAUGCAGCCAGUGCUGUUUUUGAGAAAAUAAGGCGUCUCAACUCAAGCAGGAAGGAUUCUUAUGUUGGUACAAAAGGUAAUAAGAAGAAAAGAAAGAGGAAUCAUGAUGAGGAGAAUGAGUAUGUCGAAACUGAGAGUGAGGAUGACGAUGAAGAGAAUGAGUAUGUUGAUAAUGAGAGUGAGGAUGAUGAUGGGGUGAGUGAGGAUGAUGAGGAUGAUCAACAAGAUCAGCAAGAGACACAAAUGCAAGUGGAAGAAGAGACACAAGUACAAGCUGAAAAGGAGACAGCAGCAAGUGUUGGCAAUUUGGAGGCUCGUAGAUCUGGACGACUAGUUAGGAAGAAGACCAAGGAAGUGAACAGCCUCUACUCGUAGAUUUGAACUAGGAUAUCAAGAAGCUUUUGGAUGUAUGCAAGCUUGGAGCUACUGUUUUAUAGUAAUGGCAUGUGAAGAAUAUCCAGGGAUAUCAAGAAGCUUUUGGAUGUAGGCAAGCUUGGAGCUGCUGUUUCAGUGUCAUGCUUUGAUGGUUGUCUUUUGGGGCUGUUGUUUCUGUGUAAUCAUUUAAGUUUGUUGGCUGUAACGGACUAUUUAAACUCUGAACUACGCUGUGAUGGUUGAAGUUGGACUGUUAAGGGUUAUGUUGGAGGCAACUUUAUAACUAA
This is a long non-coding RNA of Triticum aestivum (bread wheat), 934 nucleotides long. RefSeq lists it as uncharacterized. NCBI's taxonomy places the organism in Eukaryota, Viridiplantae, Streptophyta, Magnoliopsida, Poales, Poaceae. The transcript is spliced from 4 exons. The record is from RefSeq and is a predicted model, not a curated record.